CAUACACCAUAUCAAAUUACCGAACGAAUACCAAAUUCACAUGACUAGUAUUAGCAUGACCUAUCCCAUGUCCCCAGGAACAAAAGUAACUACUCACAAAGCAUAAUCAUAUUCAUGACCAGAGAGGUAAUGAGUAGCAUCAAGGAUCUGAACAUAAACUCUUCCACCAAAUAAUCCAACUAGCAUCAACUACAAAGAGUAAUCAACACUACUAGCAACCUUACAAGUACCAAUCGGAGUCGCGAGACGGAGAUUGGUUACAAGUGAUGAACUAGGGUUUGGAGAUGAGAUGGUGUUGAUGAAGAUGUUGAUGGUGACGAGUCCCCUCCGAUGAGAGGAGUGUUGGUGAUGACGAUGGCGACUUUCCCCCUCUGGCAGGGAAGUUUCCCCGGCAGGAUCGUCCUGCCGGAGCUCUAGAUUGGUUAUGCUCAAGUUCCACCUCGUGGCGGCGGCGAAACCACGAAAAAGCUCCUCCCUGGUUUUUUCCUGGACGAAACCGUUCAUAUAGCAAAAGAGGGGGGCAACUGGGCCAGUAGGGUGCCCACAAGCCCCCAUGGCGCGACCUGGGGGGUGGCCGCGCCGUGCAGGCUUGUGGCCACCCCUUGGCGCCCCUCUGGCACUUCUUCGGGCGAAUAUUUUUGAUAAACCAGGAAAAAUAUCCUCAUUGAUUUUUACGGCGUUUGGAGUUGCGCAUAAUAGGUAUCUCAAACUUGCUCCACUUUCAGGCCAGAAUUCCAGCUGCCGGUAUUCUCUCUCUUCAUGUAAACCUUGCAAAAUAAAAGAGAAAAGGCAUAAGAAUUGUACCGUGAAGUGAAAUAUCAGCCCAAGGAGCGAUAAAUAUCAACAUGAAAAUAUGAUGCAAAAUGGACGUAUCAGCCCCGCACACAGCCCAUUUUGGACCAUGACUCAUGAGGAGCACCCGCCCGAGUUGUUGAUUCAUUAUCACGGGUUCAUUACUCCCUAUGAGGGUUUAUUAGUUAUUAGGAAAAUGUAAUACCAAAGUUGGGCCUUGCCAGAAGAGUUUUAGUCUAAGACAAAUUAUCAAGGGGGUCCCCAUAACAACCCCCAAGCAUGCUAGGAGCGCACAAUAUGGAACAUAACACGAGUACACAAGUAACUAGGGCGGCAAAGGUGGAACAAAACACCAAUCAAAAGGCCAAACCUUCCACCUUUUACCAAGUAUAUAUGUGCAUUAGUUAAAAUAGCAAUAAUAUUGUGACAUCUCAAUAAAUCCAUGUUGGCAUAUGGAAUCAACUGCAGCUGCAACUAGCAACACUAUAAGAAGGCUGAGCAAGUGGUAACAUAGCCAAACAAAGGUUUGCUAGGAUGUGGAGGGGGUAGAGGCUUUUCAUGGCAAUGUUUGGAGGCUUGACAUUUGGGUGGUAGGUAAGGAGACAUAACAAUAGAAGUGAGACAACUACCAAAGCAAUGAUAGUAGUGGUAUCCAGGGAAAUGAUCAUCUUGCCUCUGAUCCCGCUUGAAAGGAGAACGAAUCCGUGAAGUAGACGAACCAACAUAGUCGAACAAAUCGUCACACUCCGACACUCUUGCGUAACUCUAUUGGCGAGAAGAAAUCUAGAAACAAACAGUCAACACAUGUUAACACCAGAACAUAUUCAUGACAUGAUGCAUACUCAAAUAUGAUGCAUGUCCAUACAAUUAUGCAAGGCAUGACAAAGCACAACAAUAAAUACUACGCAUUAAAUGAAGCUCAAUAUGCAAUGAAUUGCAUAUUCACGAAACGCCAUAUUUGAAUUAUUUACUUCACUCUCGUUUUGGUACAUGACACUAUUAAAUGGUAUUAACAUGUAAAGAGAUGAGGCAUAAAUAAAUUACACUAUCUAGGCAUUUUAAAUGAGGUCGGAAACAACUUAUAGCAUUUCCGAAACGACCCCAUUUGUUAAUUUCGUAAUUGGUCCAGAUCUGAACUAAUCGGGGGGGUUAUAUUUAUUUAAACAGGGAGCCAAAUGUACCAAGAUAUUCUACACUUCAUUCUAGGCGAUUUACAUAUAUGGAUCAUUCAAUACGGAGUUACGGUCUACAAGAUAUGACCAACGGAAGAUGAAUAUGCCAUGAAUGCAAAAUGCAUGCAAAAGAAAACCACAAACAUUUUAAAUCAUGGAUGCAAAAAGAUAUUAUGAAACAACAUGAAAUUAUAAGCAGGUUUUAUAUAUGGCAUGUUCAAAACGGAGAAACGGUUCAAAAAAUACGACCAACACAAAUUCUAUUCAUAAUCUUCCCAAAACAGCAACAUGACAUUUUGCACACAUCAAAACAACAAGAUACAGGAAUCUAAAAUACACAAAUAAUACAUGGGGCAGUAGUUGACAUAAUGC
RNAcentral lists this long non-coding RNA (2336 nucleotides) under Hordeum vulgare. RNAcentral describes it as "long non-coding RNA (HVUL_LNC004394)". The record is from RNAcentral. Lineage: Eukaryota; Viridiplantae; Streptophyta; Magnoliopsida; Poales; Poaceae.